RNAcentral lists this ribosomal RNA (682 nucleotides) under Chaetothyriales sp. MCRE15. Its description in RNAcentral is "SSU rRNA". It matches the Rfam family "Bacterial small subunit ribosomal RNA", at positions 421 to 1218 of the family's 1533-position model. Lineage: Eukaryota; Fungi; Ascomycota; Eurotiomycetes; Chaetothyriales. The record is from RNAcentral.
AGUCGUAUAAAAUUCUAGAUAAAUAAAGAGAAUGACGAUUUUUUAUCUAAAAGUCUUGACCAAAUUACGUGCCAGCAGUCGCGGUAACACGUAGAAGACUAGUGUUAUUCAUCUUUAAUCGGUAUAAAGGGUACCUAGACAGAUUACCAAGCCUUAAUAGGGACUAGUUUUCUAGAGUUUUAUGUGGGAAUAUACGAAUUACCAGAGGAGAGUCAAAAUUCUAUUAUACUGGUAGGACGGGUAACGGCGAAGGCGAUAUUCUAAGUAAAAACUGACGUUGAGGGACGAAGCCUGGGGCAGCGAUAAGGAUUAGAUACCCUAGUAGUCCUAGGAGAAAAUGAUGAGUGUCAUAGGCUAGUUAAUUUUAGUUUAUAAAUGAAAGUGUAAGCACUCCACCUCAUGACUAAGGCGGAAAUGCACAAAUUGAAAUCAUUAGACCGUUUCUGAAACCAGUAGUGAAGUAUGUUAUUUAAUUCGAUGAUCCGCGAAUAACCUUACCACGUCUUGAAUAUUUAUUAUUACAAGUGCUGCACGGCUGUCUUCAGUUAAUGUCGUGAGACUUUGGUUAAUUCCUUUAAUUAACGAAAUCCCUAACUUUAUUUGAAACUAAAGUGUUUUUCUAUAAUAGAAACAAUAUAUGGGACCAAGACAAGUCAUCAUGGCCUAAAUAGCGUGGGCUAUA